CCCAUACCUUUUAUUUUUUUUCAUUCCCUUCCUCUCUCUCUCGUUCCCUGCCUCCUCUCCUCCAGUGUAACCCUAACCCAGCGCAGCCGAGCCUCCUCUCUCUCUCGCUGGGUCUUCAACUUCAAUCGCUCUGUCUCUCUCAAUCUCUCGGGCGACCCACGACGGCCCGACCCUUUUCCCUUAUCCCUCUCCUCUGUACUCUGGACCCUCUCUCCUUCCUUCCCAACUCCGCCGCUCUUCCGCUUCGUCUUCUUCCUUCACAGCGACCUGCAAGUGUCGCCAUCUCACUCGUCGUCACUGAUUUGCUCUCAGUUUCUCACCGCCAUGACCUGUGACCCACGACCUCUUGCUGUUUCGAGUCUCGACCCACUACUUCGUUCCUUUGCAAGGGAACUCAAAUUAUUAAUGAAUCUGAGGAUCAGGACACGACCGAUUUGCAUAAGUGUAUAGCAUACAUAUGUGACUCGGCACCAAACCUAGAUAAGUCUAAUUCUUCUGUUGAAGGCCCUCAUUGUGGACUCAUACCCAUUGGGAUGCCAUCUGGAAGUACUACAACCACUGGACUUCAAUGGGAUCUCGCUGAAACGGAGAUGAGGUUUGGUGGUCUGAUAAGUACAUCGAAUAUCGUCAAGGGAGAGAAAAUAACAGUGCAGUCAGAUUCAGAUCUUCUAUGGACUAUAAGCAUUAAAAAGAUGUAGUGCAUUUGGAGAUGAGAUGGGCAAAACGAUUUGAGUUUUUUUAGAGAGAGAGAGAGAGAGAGAGCGGCUUUUUGAUGAUUUCAGCGAGUAAAUGCUGUAAGGAAGAAAUACAGAAUGAUAAAGUGUUGAUGCUAGCACAGGAGAAAAAAAUGGCACUCUGUGAUAUCUGUGGUUCAUUUCUUGUGGCCAAUGAUGCUGUAGAGAGAACUCAGUCUCAUGUUACAGGGAAACAGAAUGAUAAAGUGUUGUGGUUGUUUUGCAUUUUUUGGAUGAAAAAAAAAAAAAACC
Non-coding RNA from Malus domestica (apple), 986 nucleotides. NCBI's taxonomy places the organism in Eukaryota, Viridiplantae, Streptophyta, Magnoliopsida, Rosales, Rosaceae. The record is from RefSeq and is a predicted model, not a curated record.